Molecule: ribosomal RNA, 317 nt
Filed under: Streptomyces sp. BH-4
Lineage: Bacteria; Bacillati; Actinomycetota; Actinomycetes; Kitasatosporales; Streptomycetaceae
Description: bacterial SSU rRNA
Rfam family: Bacterial small subunit ribosomal RNA
Source: RNAcentral
GGGCAGGGCGGCGUCUUACACAUGCAAGUCGAACGAUGAAGCCCUUCGGGGUGGAUUAGUGGCGAACGGGUGAGUAACACGUGGGCAAUCUGCCCUGCACUCUGGGACAAGCCCUGGAAACGGGGUCUAAUACCGGAUAUGACCGUCUUGGGCAUCCUUGACGGUGUAAAGCUCCGGCGGUGCAGGAUGAGCCCGCGGCCUAUCAGCUUGUUGGUGAGGUAAUGGCUCACCAAGGCGACGACGGGUAGCCGGCCUGAGAGGGCGACCGGCCACACUGGGACUGAGACACGGCCCAGACUCCUACGGGAGGCAGCAAA